UACCAUCGGAGUAUUAGAGUAUUGGAGUAUUGUGUCUGUAAGGUAGUAGUUUCUACCAUCAGAGUAUUGUGUCUAUAAGGUAGUAGUUUCUACCAUCAGAGUAUUGUGUCUAUAAGGUAGUAGUUUCUACCAUCAGAGUAUUGUGUCUAUAAGGUAGUAGUUUCUACCAUCAGAGUAUCAGAGUAUUGUGUCUAAGGUAGUAGUUUCUACCAUCGGAGUAUUGUGUCUAUAAGGUAGUAGUUUCUACCAUCGGAGUAUUGUGUCUAUAAGGUAGUAGUUUCUACCAUCGGAGUAUUGUGUCUAUAAGGUAGUAGUUUCUACCAUCGGAGUAUUGUGUCUAUAAGGUAGUAGUUUCUACCAUCGGAGUAUUGUGUCUAUAAGGUAGUAGUUUCUACCAUCGGAGUAUUGUGUCUAUAAGGUAGUAGUUUCUACCAUCAGAGUAUUGUGUCUAUAAGGUAGUAGUUUCUACCAUCAGAGUAUUGUGUCUAUAAGGUAGUAGUUUCUACCAUCAGAGUAUUGGAGUAUUGUGUCUAUAAGGUAGUAGUUUCUACCAUCAGAGUAUUGGAGUAUUGUGUCUAAGGUAGUAGUUUCUACCAUCAGAGUAUCAGAGUAUUGUGUCUAUAAGGUAGUAGUUUCUCCCAUCAGAGUAUUGUGUCUAUAAGGUAGUAGUUUCUACCAUCAGAGUAUUGUGUCUAUAAGGUAGUAGUUUCUACCAUCAGAGUAUUGGAGUAUUGUGUCUAUAAGGUAGUAGUUUCUACCAUCAGAGUAUUGGAGUAUUGUGUCUAUAAGGUAGUAGUUUCUACCAUCAGAGUAUCGGAGUAUUGUGUCUAUAAGGUAGUAGUUUCUACCAUCAGAGUAUUGUGUCUAAGGUAGUAGUUUCUACCAUCAGAGUAUUGUGUCUAAGGUAGUAGUUUCUACCAUCAGAGUAUCAGAGUAUUGUGUCUAUAAGGUAGUAGUUUCUACCAUCAGAGUAUUGUGUCUAUAAGGUGGUAGUUUCUACCAUCAGAGUAUUGUGUCUAUAAGGUAGUAGUUUCUACCAUCAGAGUAUUGUGUCUAUAAGGUAGUAGUUUCUACCAUCAGAGUAUCGGAGUAUUGUGUCUAUAAGGUAGUAGUUUCUACCAUCAGAGUAUUGUGUCUAUAAGGUAGUAGUUUCUACCAUCAGAGUAUUGGAGUAUUGUGUCUAUAAGGUAGUAGUUUCUACCAUCAGAGUAUUGUGUCUAAGGUAGUAGUUUCUACCAUCAGAGUAUUGUGUCUAUAAGGUAGUAGUUUCUACCAUCAGAGUAUUGGAAUA
Oncorhynchus keta (chum salmon) is the source of this 1291-nucleotide long non-coding RNA. RefSeq lists it as uncharacterized. NCBI's taxonomy places the organism in Eukaryota, Metazoa, Chordata, Actinopteri, Salmoniformes, Salmonidae. The record is from RefSeq and is a predicted model, not a curated record. The transcript has 3 exons.